RNAcentral lists this microRNA precursor (199 nucleotides) under Oryza brachyantha (malo sina). RNAcentral's name for it is "MIR812 microRNA precursor family". It matches the Rfam family "MIR812 microRNA precursor family". The record is from Rfam by way of RNAcentral. Lineage: Eukaryota; Viridiplantae; Streptophyta; Magnoliopsida; Poales; Poaceae.
CCUCAGUAUAUUUUUGUGCUCUCGAUGUUUAACAUUUUAUUAUUCGCCUUAUUUAAAAAACAUAUAACUAAUAUUUUAUUAUUAUUAGAUAAUAAAAUAUAAAUAAUACUUUUAUAUGUGACUAUUUUUUAUUUUUUAAUUAUUUUAAAUAAAACGAAUAGUUAAAAGUUAAACACGAAAAUCUAUGAAUACAGUUAUA